AGACCCGAAACCCGGUGAUCUAGCCAUGGGCAGGUUGAAGGUUGGGUAACACUAACUGGAGGACCGAACCGACUAAUGUUGAAAAAUUAGCGGAUGACCUGUGGCUGGGGGUGAAAGGCCAAUCAAACCGGGAGAUAGCUGGUUCUCCCCGAAAGCUAUUUAGGUAGCGCCUCGUGAACUCAUCUCCGGGGGUAGAGCACUGUUUCGGCUAGGGGGCCAUCCCGGCUUACCAACCCGAUGCAAACUGCGAAUACCGGAGAAUGUUAUCACGGGAGACACACGGCGGGUGCUAACGUCCGUCGUGAAGAGGGAAACAACCCAGACCGCCAGCUAAGGUCCCAAAGUCAUGGUUAAGUGGGAAACGAUGUGGGAAGGCCCAGACAGCCAGGAUGUUGGCUUAGAAGCAGCCAUCAUUUAAAGAAAGCGUAAUAGCUCACUGGUCGAGUCGGCCUGCGCGGAAGAUGUAACGGGGCUAAACCAUGCACCGAAGCUGCGGCAGCGACACUUUAGUGUUGUUGGGUAGGGGAGCGUUCUGUAAGCCGUUGAAGGUGUCCUGUGAGGGGUGCUGGAGGUAUCAGAAGUGCGAAUGCUGACAUAAGUAACGAUAAAGCGGGUGAAAAGCCCGCUCGCCGGAAGACCAAGGGUUCCUGUCCAACGUUAAUCGGGGCAGGGU
RNAcentral lists this ribosomal RNA (673 nucleotides) under Salmonella enterica. RNAcentral describes it as "partial 23S ribosomal RNA". It matches the Rfam family "Bacterial large subunit ribosomal RNA", at positions 711 to 1380 of the family's 2925-position model. The record is from RNAcentral. Lineage: Bacteria; Pseudomonadati; Pseudomonadota; Gammaproteobacteria; Enterobacterales; Enterobacteriaceae.